This 1357-nucleotide long non-coding RNA is filed under the name Bos grunniens (domestic yak). Its description in RNAcentral is "lncRNA (ENSBGRG00000015326.1)". Lineage: Eukaryota; Metazoa; Chordata; Mammalia; Artiodactyla; Bovidae. The record is from RNAcentral.
AGAAAGUUAGAUCAUAAGUUCUAAGGUGAGAGCAAUGACAACCAUAUAUAUCAUAUUAGUUCCUUGUUACAGAACUUUUUUAUAUUUUUCUGUUUUAGUAACUGGAAUUCCCUGGUAGCUCAGCUGGUAAAGAAUCCUGCCACAAUGCAGAAGACCCUGGUUUGAUUCCUGGGUCAGGAAGAUCCACUGGAGAAAGGACAAGCUACCAACUCCAGUGUUCUAGGUGUCCUAGAUUUAAAGAAGGAAGAUCAGAGGGAUGAUCGUCUGGAGGUGAUCACUGAUGAUGACAAAGAGGCUGAGGAAGCAGGGGAUGGCAGAGAUGGCUUCCAUGAAUGGUGAAUCCAUUGCUGUUUGGAGGAGUGAAGUGGUAUAAUUUUUUUUAAAGGUAUUUAAACUAAUAACCCUGUUUUUUUUAUUUACCACAAGUAUUUUUAAAAAACUCCACCAUGGUCAAACUGAUGUCUCUAUAGAGGAAAGGGCCUGACAAAGUGAGGCAAGAUUGUAUUGAAAAAUAUUUCUUUCAUUUGCAGAAAAACUUGCCAUAUAUGUAUUUUUUUUUUCUAUGAGGUCAUAUUUUUCUCCGGUUUUAAGCCUCACAUAUAAAGAGUCAACCCACAUACCUAUGCCAUUGAGAAAGAAAAAGGACAAUGAGAAACAUGGAGAAACCUUGAGAAAGAAAAAUCAUUAGAUUUACUGAUAGACAUUAAAGACCAGUACAUUAAGAAUUACUCACUUCAAAAACCACUACAAUAUUGUAAAGUAAUUAGCCUCCAAUUAAAUAAAUUAAUUAAAGAAAAUUACUCACUUAAAUUGUUCAGUAAGUAACAAAAGGGGCCAAAGUGCUUGGUUAAAAAAAAAGAUGAUUAUUCCAAACAGCAAACCCAUUUGUGUUCAAGCAAAUAGCUGCUCCUUUUUCAUUUCAUAGACUUCCCUGAUAGCUCAGUUGGUGAAGAAUCUGCCUGCAAUGCUGGAGACCCCAGUUCAAUUCCUGGGUCAGGAGAUCUGCUGGAGAUGGGAUAGGCUACCCAGUUUCCAUUUGGCUCCCCAGGAACCAUCAGUGGAACAAGUUACUGGGAAUGUGUUGAGUCUCCUUAACUGGGGAGAGGACCCAAGGAUGUUACCAUUCAUGUUGAAGAGUGUUACCCCCGUGGAGAGCACAGACCUUAGAAGAGAUAAGAGCUCCGAAGAGCCGACAGAAAGUCCUUGUCGCAAACGUGAGAAGGAAAAUCAGAACAAGUGGAAUAUUCUAGAUUGUAAAGAAGGUAACACUUCAGUGACCUCGAGAGAGCACCUUUUGGAGCAUGGAUUAGGAUGGUAUGAGGUCAGGAUUGACUGGACAAAGAUGGAUGAGCAAUGA